Molecule: non-coding RNA, 177 nt
Filed under: unclassified sequences
Description: malK-I RNA
Rfam family: malK-I RNA
Source: RNAcentral
GAUCAUGGGCUGCGUCUACUCCACCACAAUAGGCGCGGUUCUGAAAAUAAGGAGGAAAAAACAUUCCGUCAGAUUCACGGUGCGGCAGUGUGGAGACCUGUCGUAAUGCGGAGGGUCAAAAAACCUCCGCGAGAGCAUUUGCGCGGAGGCGCAAUGCUUAGAAUCAAAACUAUGGCU